AUUUUGAAAUACUAGAAAACAAGGUCUAGAUCUUUGAUGAAAUGUGCAAAUUUUUAUAGUAGUAGGUAAUUCAUGUGUAAGAAUUUUCAUUAUAAUAUAGAAAAUGCCAUGUUUGAUCAAUUUUAUGAUUGUAUUUUACAAAAAUAAGAAUUCUUUUGUUUGAUUCAUUUUUUUCCAACUUUGUCAAAUAAGGGGAGGCAACUCAAAUGCAAGGGCAGAUAAUCCAGAUUGUGUUACUUUUACAAUAGAAUGUGUUAGGAAUUUACCCAUUUUUACAUGUAGCAAGAAAACGAGUCCGGUGACCCUUUUUUCUUUUCUAUCUGAAAGCAUAAUAUUGAAGCUAUCUUCUCAUAUUUUAUCUCAAAAUUCUAUGGUGUGGUUUGCGUUUUAUGGCGGAAAAAUGAGUUUUCC
This 411-nucleotide long non-coding RNA is filed under the name Mytilus galloprovincialis (Mediterranean mussel). The record is from RNAcentral. Lineage: Eukaryota; Metazoa; Mollusca; Bivalvia; Mytilida; Mytilidae.